Lycium ferocissimum is the source of this 387-nucleotide long non-coding RNA. RefSeq lists it as uncharacterized. The record is from RefSeq and is a predicted model, not a curated record. NCBI's taxonomy places the organism in Eukaryota, Viridiplantae, Streptophyta, Magnoliopsida, Solanales, Solanaceae. The transcript is spliced from 3 exons.
CAUAUUUAGUACUGUAAUACAGGAAGGCGAUGAUGAGGUUGUGAUUGCAAUGACAAAUUGCUGUAGAUGUGAAUAACAAAAUGUCGCCAUACAAGGAGUCGAUAAUAAUCCCUGUCCCUUGAGUAAUGCAGUUGUGGACAAGGCAUACUUUGAAUUCUUCAUUAGGCUUACUGAUGGAACUCCAAUUAGUUUCGAUGCUGAAUAGCGACGUGUAAUUCUAUGCUUACAAGCUGCAAUCGAAAGUUGAGCAUUUGAGAUAUAUCCAACCAAAACUGCGAACUUUUGAAGGGGCUCUACAUCUCCAUGGCAGUUGGCAAGGCCAAGGUUUAGAGGUACUCGCCAAGUUGAGCACUCUGUAAUAACAUGCCUUUGCCAUGUUCAAUUGUC